Molecule: ribosomal RNA, 482 nt
Filed under: Aspergillus niger
Lineage: Eukaryota; Fungi; Ascomycota; Eurotiomycetes; Eurotiales; Aspergillaceae
Description: eukaryotic LSU rRNA
Rfam family: Eukaryotic large subunit ribosomal RNA
Source: RNAcentral
CGGCCCCCGUCUAAGUGCCCUGGAACGGGCCGUCAGAGAGGGUGAGAAUCCCGUCUUGGGCGGGGUGUCCGUGCCCGUGUAAAGCUCCUUCGACGAGUCGAGUUGUUUGGGAAUGCAGCUCUAAAUGGGUGGUAAAUUUCAUCUAAAGCUAAAUACUGGCCGGAGACCGAUAGCGCACAAGUAGAGUGAUCGAAAGAUGAAAAGCACUUUGAAAAGAGAGUUAAACAGCACGUGAAAUUGUUGAAAGGGAAGCGCUUGCGACCAGACUCGCCCGCGGGGUUCAGCCGGCAUUCGUGCCGGUGUACUUCCCCGUGGGCGGGCCAGCGUCGGUUUGGGCGGCCGGUCAAAGGCCCCUGGAAUGUAGUGCCCUCCGGGGCACCUUAUAGCCAGGGGUGCAAUGCGGCCAGCCUGGACCGAGGAACGCGCUUCGGCACGGACGCUGGCAUAAUGGUCGUAAACGACCCGUCUGAAAACCCGGGCAC